CCUACGGGAGGCAGCAGUGGGGAAUAUUGGGCAAUGGGCGCAAGCCUGAACCAGCAAUGCCGCGUGAAGGAAGAAGGCUUUCGGGUUGUAAACUUCUUUGACAGGGGAAGAGCAGAAGACGGUACCCUGAAAACAAGCCACGGCUAACUACGUGCCAGCAGCCGCGGUAAUACGUAGGUGGCAAGCGUUGUCCGGAUUUACUGGGUGUAAAGGGCGUGUAGGCGGGAAGGGAAGUCAGAUGUGAAAUCUGGAGGCUCAACCUUCAAAUUGCAUUUGAAAAUGGUUUUCUUGAGUACUGGAGAGGCAGGCGGAAUUCCUUGUGUAGCGGUGAAAUGCGUAGAUAUAAGGAGGAACACCAGUGGCGAAGGCGGUCUGCUGGACAGCGACUGACGGUGAGGCGCGAAAGCGUGGGGAGCAAACAGGAUUAGAUACCCGAGUAGUC
RNAcentral lists this ribosomal RNA (442 nucleotides) under uncultured bacterium. Its description in RNAcentral is "partial 16S ribosomal RNA". It matches the Rfam family "Bacterial small subunit ribosomal RNA", at positions 338 to 795 of the family's 1533-position model. The record is from RNAcentral.